This 455-nucleotide ribosomal RNA is filed under the name Streptococcus australis. RNAcentral's name for it is "bacterial SSU rRNA". It matches the Rfam family "Bacterial small subunit ribosomal RNA", at positions 28 to 469 of the family's 1533-position model. The record is from RNAcentral. Lineage: Bacteria; Bacillati; Bacillota; Bacilli; Lactobacillales; Streptococcaceae.
GACGAACGCUGGCGGCGUGCCUAAUACAUGCAAGUAGAACGCUGAAGGAGGAGCUUGCUCUUCUGGAUGAGUUGCGAACGGGUGAGUAACGCGUAGGUAACCUGCCUGGUAGCGGGGGAUAACUAUUGGAAACGAUAGCUAAUACCGCAUAACAGUAGAUAUUGCAUGAUAUCUGCUUGAAAGGUGCAAUUGCACCACUACCAGAUGGACCUGCGUUGUAUUAGCUAGUUGGUGAGGUAACGGCUCACCAAGGCGACGAUACAUAGCCGACCUGAGAGGGUGAUCGGCCACACUGGGACUGAGACACGGCCCAGACUCCUACGGGAGGCAGCAGUAGGGAAUCUUCGGCAAUGGACGGAAGUCUGACCGAGCAACGCCGCGUGAGUGAAGAAGGUUUUCGGAUCGUAAAGCUCUGUUGUAAGAGAAGAACGAGUGUGAGAGUGGAAAGUUCACAG